GUUUUAAAACCCUAAUGCUGACCAAAGGAAAGAGUUCAGUUUAGGGUUUAAAACCCUAAUGCUGACUAAAAGAAAGAGUUCAGUUUAGGGUUUAAAACCUAAUGCUGACUAAAUGGAAAAGGUUGUUUAGUUUAGGGUUUAAAACCCUAAUGCUGACUGAAUGGAAAAAAAACCCUAAUACUGACUGAAUGGAAAAAGUUCAGUUUAGGGUUUAAAACCCUAAUGCUGAUUGAAGGAAAGGGUUCAGUUUAGGGUUUAAAACCCUAAUGCUGACUGAAGGAAAGAGUUCAGUUUAGGGUUUAAAACCCUAAUGCUGACUAAAUGGAAAAGUUCAGUUUAGGGN
Molecule: long non-coding RNA, 343 nt
Filed under: Nicotiana tabacum (common tobacco)
Lineage: Eukaryota; Viridiplantae; Streptophyta; Magnoliopsida; Solanales; Solanaceae
Description: long non-coding RNA (NTAB_LNC015515)
Source: RNAcentral